AUCCUGGCUCAGAUUGAACGCUGGCGGCAGGCCUAACACAUGCAAGUCGAGCGGUAGCACAGAGAGCUUGCUCUCGGGUGACGAGCGGCGGACGGGUGAGUAAUGUCUGGGAAACUGCCUGAUGGAGGGGGAUAACUACUGGAAACGGUAGCUAAUACCGCAUAAUGUCGCAAGACCAAAGUGGGGGACCUUCGGGCCUCAUGCCAUCAGAUGUGCCCAGAUGGGAUUAGCUAGUAGGUGGGGUAAUGGCUCACCUAGGCGACGAUCCCUAGCUGGUCUGAGAGGAUGACCAGCCACACUGGAACUGAGACACGGUCCAGACUCCUACGGGAGGCAGCAGUGGGGAAUAUUGCACAAUGGGCGCAAGCCUGAUGCAGCCAUGCCGCGUGUAUGAAGAAGGCCUUCGGGUUGUAAAGUACUUUCAGCGAGGAGGAAGGCAUUAAGGUUAAUAACCUUAGUGAUUGACGUUACUCGCAGAAGAAGCACCGGCUAACUCCGUGCCAGCAGCCGCGGUAAUACGGAGGGUGCAAGCGUUAAUCGGAAUUACUGGGCGUAAGGCGCACGCAGGCGGUCUGUUAAGUCAGAUGUGAAAUCCCCGGGCUCAACCUGGGAACUGCAUUUGAAACUGGCAGGCUUGAGUCUUGUAGAGGGGGGUAGAAUUCCAGGUGUAGCGGUGAAAUGCGUAGAGAUCUGGAGGAAUACCGGUGGCGAAGGCGGCCCCCUGGACAAAGACUGACGCUCAGGUGCGAAA
RNAcentral lists this ribosomal RNA (751 nucleotides) under uncultured Raoultella sp. RNAcentral's name for it is "bacterial SSU rRNA". It matches the Rfam family "Bacterial small subunit ribosomal RNA", at positions 16 to 758 of the family's 1533-position model. The record is from RNAcentral. Lineage: Bacteria; Pseudomonadati; Pseudomonadota; Gammaproteobacteria; Enterobacterales; Enterobacteriaceae.